This is a non-coding RNA of Nerophis lumbriciformis (worm pipefish), 278 nucleotides long. The record is from RefSeq and is a predicted model, not a curated record. Lineage: Eukaryota; Metazoa; Chordata; Actinopteri; Syngnathiformes; Syngnathidae.
ACACACACACAUGAACACACAGGGAUGCGCGCGCAUCCACCCGGGGUCUCCCGGUCAAUGGCGAGCUCAUGUCGGCGCCUCGGAUUUAGAUGAAGAAUUCAUCUUAAUCCUCAAGUCUUUUUCGCCAUCUCCGGGUCCAAGUUGGAUGUCAAAGUUGACCGACUUGUGGGUUUAUGUCCACAACCUUCUACUAUCCAGAUACUACGUCCACAGAGUCUAAUUAGGAGGAUGAUAUCCACGGUUGAAGCGACGACAUUGGAGAGACGGUACAACAAAAU